Molecule: small RNA, 168 nt
Filed under: Marmota monax (woodchuck)
Lineage: Eukaryota; Metazoa; Chordata; Mammalia; Rodentia; Sciuridae
Source: RNAcentral
AUCGCUUCUCGGCCUUUUGGCUAAGAUCAAGUGUAGAUUUAAAAGAAAGGCCAGGUGCCAAACAAUGAAAAUAUAGUCUGUCACCUUUUGUGUAUGAAAGAAAGAUAAGACUACCUAUGCAUUUGCUUCUGUUUGCUAAAGAAACACUGGAAGAAGAAAGCAAUAACA